RNAcentral lists this ribosomal RNA (685 nucleotides) under uncultured bacterium. RNAcentral's name for it is "bacterial SSU rRNA". It matches the Rfam family "Bacterial small subunit ribosomal RNA", at positions 28 to 739 of the family's 1533-position model. The record is from RNAcentral.
AAUCAACGCUGGCGGCGCGCUUAACACAUGCAAGUCGAACGGGAGACUCCUCUUCGGAGGGGAUCUAGUGGCGAACGGGUGAGUAACACGUGGGUUACCUGCCCUCGAGUGGGAACUAACUCUGGGAAACCGGAGCUAAUACCGCAUAUAACCUCCGGGUGAAAGGCGUUCGGCCGCUCGAGGAUGGGCCCGCGGUCGAUUAGCUAGUUGGUGGGGUAAUGGCCCUACCCAAGGCACCGAGUCGAUGAGCCGGCCUGAGAGGGCACACGGCCACACUGGCACUGAGACACGGGCCAGACUCCUACGGGAGGCAGCAGUGGGGAAUCUUGGACAAUGGGCGAAAGCCUGAUCCAGCGACGCCGCGUGACCGAUGAAGGCCCUCGGGUCGUAAAGGUCUUUCAGCGGGGACAAUAAUGAUGGUACCCGCAGAAGCAGGAGCGGCUAACUACGUGCCAGCAGCCGCGGUAAUACGUAGGCUCCAAGCGUUGUUCGGAAUUACUGGGCGUAAAGCGAGUGUAGGCGGUCUGCCAAGUCGAUUGUGAAAUCUCCCGGCUCAACCGGGAGGGUGCGGUCGAAACUGACAGACUCGAGUUCGGGAGAGGAGAGUGGAAUUCCUGGUGUAGCGGUGAAAUGCGUAGAUAUCAGGGAGGAACAUCGGUGGUGAAGACGGCUCUCUGGACCGAUA